RNAcentral lists this long non-coding RNA (6023 nucleotides) under Prunus persica (peach). RNAcentral describes it as "long non-coding RNA (PPER_LNC004398)". The record is from RNAcentral. Lineage: Eukaryota; Viridiplantae; Streptophyta; Magnoliopsida; Rosales; Rosaceae.
UCACCACCUCCACCAUCCCCUUCACCUCCUCCUCCUUAUGUCUACAAGUCUCCACACCUCCGUCACGUCACCUCUCUCAUACGUCUAUAAUCUCAACACACAUCUCAUCCCACUCUCCUUAUGUGUACAAUCUCACCACACAUCUCAUNNNNNNNNNNNNNNNNNNNNNNNNNNNNNNNNNNNNNNNNNNNNNNNNNNNNNNNNNNNNNNNNNNNNNNNNNNNNNNNNNNNNNNNNNNNNNNNNNNNNGUUGACAACAAGUGUGCUGGUGAAUAAUAAGGGUCUAGCAGAACCCUUCUUGUAAUCUGUUGUAAGCACUUAUUGUAUUACUUCUUUAAAGAGAUUAAUUGAAUCAAAUGAAAGUGAAGAACAUUAAUUUCAUGUACUUGUUAAUCUAGUAUAUGCCCCUAUGACUUUUGGGUUAAUUAGUUCUGUGCUUCUUUGUUGAAAAGUUAAUGCAUGAUAAUGCAUAUCACUUUAUCAUCGUUAUUAAAUAGUAAACAUGCAUGCAUUUUAUAAUAAAUUUGGUACCUGGAUGUUUCAAGUUGUAACCAAAGCUCAAUUGGCCAGAUACGAAAUCAAAUUUAAGAAUUGUUUAAUCUGAUAGUUGACGUGACUUACUGUUUAUGUUCAUAUGUUUGGGAAACAUUACUGCAAUUGAGUGGACAGAGAUAUGUUUAUGUCCAUUGGGCCUACUCUCGGAACUUAGCUGGCAUGAACAAAUUAAUAGUUGACUACUGGGCACUUAAACAUACCCAAAUUUUUUUAGAGGCUAUUGAUUUUGAGUAGGAAUCCCCGUUGGGUCCGGUCCCAGGCUUAAUCGGGAAGAUUUCGGGGUAAAAUUAGAGGCUGGUAUGUGAAUCUCUAAAUUUUUAAAAUUCCCUGUCAAGGAUGGUAUUGUCACUACAAAAAAAAAGUGGUAACAGUCACCAUUAUUUAGUGACAUUUGCUGGGGCGAUUAAAGGUUUUAGUCACUAAAAAAGUCUUUUUUGGUGACUUCAAAAAUGCCUUUUGUGACUAAAGCCUUUAGUCACCCCAACAAAUAUCACCAAAUAAUGGUCACUAUUGCCACUUUUGUUUUUUUGAGGUGUUAUCCCCUUCUCCAAACCCGGUCUAAUAAGGGAAAUAUUUAUUUGGGUAAAAAAACACUUUUGGCCACUAGGGUUAGAGUUGAAAACGAUUUUGGACAUGGAUCCGUUGUCCCUAUUUUUCAUGUCCCUCCAUGUCCCUUUUCUAAUUUCUUGACAAGUGUCCACCUACUUAACCCCAAACUAAUACUGUUAAUUUGUAAUAAAAUAUUUAAAAAACAUAAAAACUAAAAUCGAAAAACAAAAACCAAGCAGACACCACAACCCCGCCCCACCUCAGCAGCCCCCUGAGCCUCUCCCAUCUUCACCAUCGGCGAAGCAUCCCCUCUUAUUUGUCUCUCUUUCCUUCUUCUAUCUCACUGCCUCUCCUGAAUUUGUUCCUCUUUCCCUCCUCUUUCGUGGUGUGGGUGUGACGAGGAAUAGUGUUUCUAAGCAAUAAUAGUCAUAAUCUCAAAGUUUAAGUCAUAGUGUUUCUAAGCAAUAAUAGUCUUCAGUCACCAUUGAAUUCUACGAGGGUUUAGAUCAAAUCGGCAUCAACAAAAAUUAACAAAUAAUAUUUCAAGGGUUGUGUGACUUGCAACACUUCGUAGAAAAGAUUGGGACAAAAUUCAAAGGAGAGAUAUAUAUAUAUAUAUAUAUAGAGAGAGAGAGCUUCCAUUGAGGGAUCCCUCAAAUAACUUAUUUGAGGAAUACCCCUUGUAGGCCCCACUUCGAAUUGUAUCUCAUUCAUCCAAACAGUCUAUUUUGUAGAUACUCAUUCAAAGAUCAUCUCUACAAAAAAUCACUUGAAUCCGAUAUCAGUUGACCACUCAAUUGAGUUAUUGAAAUUUUAGUACUUUUUUGAAGCACCGUGUUCAUUGAUUUUGUAAGACACAAUUGGAUGUCGAAACGGUUUCCGAUUUGUCUAAUUUUUUGUAAGGAUAAUCUAUGAAUGAAGACCUAAAAAAUAGAUGAUUUGGAUCAUUGGAAAAAAAAAUUGUAAGGUACCCUAAAGGGCGUUCCUCAAAUAAUUUGAGGGAUCCCUCAAUAGAAGGGGAUAUAUAUAUAUUUAUAUAUUAGGAGUCUAAACCAGCGGUUUUAGUAUUUCCUCUUCAGCAAUUGGUGGGCUAUGCUUGUGUACUAGUUCUCCAAUAUCGAAUGUGUGAGGUUGAUUAUGGUAUAGGGCAGAAACAAACAUACCUUACAAGUGAAAUCACAUAGUACUAAACUGGAAUUGAAGUUCUUUUCUCUUUUUCCCCCCCUUUGGGAAGGAUAAUCUCUUUAAAUUGUACGCAGAUGUGUACAAAAUGAGUGGUUUUUGUAUUGUCUAAAACUGAGAAGGGAAAUAUUUUUGCCUAUCUUUUUGGCUCCUUUUUGUGUUUUCUUAUUUGUCGAGGAUAAUAGAAGGGUUGGUUAGAUGAGCAUCGAUCCACGACAAUGUCAACUUAGGCGGUGACCUCUUAGUUGGAAUCGAGAGUCCCUUUUUUGUUUUGGUUAGAAUGAAAACAAAGUCUGCAGUCGAUAUAUACCUUUAACUAAGUUUCCCUUGUUUUUCUUUCUUUGCAUUUGUUUUUCUUCCUUACCGACUAAUACGUACAAACAUGCAUAAGACUUUCAAUCUAAAUUUCAAACUUUUCUAGAAGUAGAGAGAGAGAGAUAGUAUAUAUAUAUAUAUUGAGCCAUCACUUGCCAAGUCUAAUGACACACAAGUAGGACACACACAUUAAAUGCAAGCUUGACCUUAAAUUUUUCUUCCCUCUUACACACAAGGGCCGAUUGAGUGAAAAUAAAAAUAAAAAAUUGAUUUAGAGAGACCAAAAUAUUAAAGAAAAUUUGAUAUUUCUCAAAAUUUUCAAUGUCUAAUAUAUUUUUUUAUUAAAUAUAUGUAAUAUAGUUUAUGUAAUUAACUUACUAUAAAUUUAUAUAAACAAAAACCAUAAUUUGCAGGGUAGUACAAAUAUCCACAAAUAAUUAAUACAAAGAUAGAAGCAUAGUAAGCACGUAAGGUUAAUCCAGAUACAUAGAAAGACACAGUACCGAGAACAUCAAGCGCACAAGGUGUAUCUCCACUAAUUAAUAGCCACAUAAUGCCAAAGAAAUUUUUGCAUAAAAGCUACAAGACUGCAUAAGACAGACAUGAACCGCAGUGCGUAAAACUACCAACACAACUGCAACUUUUAAACUCUCGCAAGUAGAACUUAUAAGUAAGUACCUAGACUACAAACAAACACCCAACUUACAAGAAUUGAUGAAAUUAUUACAACUCAAGAAUAUAUAAACACACAACAAGUGAGUAAAAGUUGCUAAGCCACUAAGCCACCUUGUAUGUCUCUAAAUUUGGCAACGAAACCACCAGUGCAUUGCUACUUCAUCGUCACCAAAGAUUCCAAUGAAAGCCAAAUCACAAGGCUGGGUUUUUUUUUUUUUUUGGAGAAAAACUUAGGUUGGUUUUAUUACUAGAGAAUUCGAAUGGCACAAUUGCUUUUCAGGUUCUCCAUCUUAAUUUGUAAUAGAAGUAACACAUUUAAAAGAUUUAUUUUUCUAGCUCUCAUAAAUAUGGAUGAGGUGAAACCAGCCAAAAGUUCCUCAGUCACACGCUAAACUGAAUAUCUUUAAACCUUAUUACUCUAGGUUGGUAAAAGAAUUUUCUCUUUUUAAUUCUUUGGUGCAACUCGAUCUCUUCUUUAUAGUUUUUUGAGAGUCGAUCACUUUUGACAAAGUGCCAAGUUGCCAACUAUGCUCCUAUUUACAUUACAUUGAAUAAAGAAAAAGAUAAUAUAGUGAGGAUAGAAUAGUUAUUAUCAGUUAUUCUAAAAUAAAAUAAAAUAAAACAAACUAAAAUUAUCCAUAUGUUUCUCCCACAAUUUUUUGUCACUAUUUCUUAUUAUCUACUUCUCGAGCAAUAAUUGUCUCACAUACAAAGCAUUCUAGUAAUAGUAAUAUAAGGACUAAUGAACUAAUGCAAAAACAUUAAGGGCCCUUAAUUGAGUUCGGCAAUUCAAAUCCAAAAAUUCAAUUGGCAAAGUACAAUGUGUGUUUAUUUAUUUGGGUUAAAUAUUUUUUUGGUCACUAGAAAAAAAUUCAGCCAAAUUGGUCACUGUGUUUUCCGAAGUAUACAAUUUAUUGACAUUCUGUUAUCUUUCAUUAAUUGCAGUUUUUUUUAAAAAAAAAAAAAUAGGAAUCACCUUCUGUCUUCUUCCUUUAACUCAACAAGUUAUGGUAUAUUGUGCUAUUAGAGUUCAGCAAAUUGGGGGAAAUCUUGGGUUGAAAUCGAAAUCGUGAGGCAUGAGGAAAAUCAAAAGGCCAAACCAAAUUAAAAUGAAAUCAACAACUUACUAAUAUAUUUUGGUGCUCUAUCACAUUGAUUGUGUCUCCUUGUCAUCCGAAGUCACAAUACAAUUCUCACUCAAUCGAUUCAGGCUUCAAUAUAAUACCCAAUUAUUCGUGACCUUAUACCUCAUCAUUUCGAUUUCAACCCAAAAUUUCCCCCCAUCUUUAAAACUCUUAUAGCACAAUAACCUAACUUGUUGAGUUAGCGAGUUAGAGGAAGAAGACUUGAACGUGCUUCUUGGAAAUAUAAAAAUAAAAACUGCACUUAAUGGAAGUUAACGGUAGAUAACAAAAUGUCUAAAUUGUAAACUUAUGGAAAUAUUGUGAUCAAUCUGACUAAAUUUUUUUCUGAAUGACUAAAUUGAAUUUCCGUGUAAUGACCAAAAAGAUAUUUAAUCCUAUUUAUUUUUAUGAAGCAAAACUCUAAUGUUAAUGGAUGAAAGCUUUACACCUUUUAAUUAGCUAAGCACUUUUGAUAAUCCAGUAAAGUAUUUUUCAUAAUGGGUCAAAGUGUUCAGUUAUAUGCAAGCUAGCGUUCGAACUUUACCUUUUUUUACCAUAUAUAUUUAUUAUUACUUCACUAGUUGCUGGAGAACAGACCAACCCUUUUCAUUUUCACUCUCCAGCCGUACAACACUUACCUACCACACGGUUUGACUUGUCCAUGGCCUUCAUGAAAGAUCAAAGUUGAAAAAUCUUUGUGGGAACCCAAAUUCACUGGUUGAAGCAUGCGAGUUCAACUGAUUGGCAUUUCAAAAUCUCAAAGUCACAUUUGGUAGAAAACUUAAAGCAUCAAUCCAGCCAAUUAUGCUGAAUAAGCAAACAUGUCUUAUUCAAAGAUGAUGUCAAAGAUUGCUAUAAAAGGGAUAGCUUUCUCACCAUUUCCAACCACCUCACUCACAAAACAAGUUCUAAGAACUACAAUUUGUGGCAGAAAUGAGAACCUCAGGACAGCUGAGGCAUUGCCCUACAAUGUUUUAUGCCUUGGCAUUGUGCCUCUUGGCCACAAGUGUGCUUGCCACUACGCCUUAUACUUAUUCUUCACCACCUCCACCAAAGCACUUGGAGACCCCUCCAACCCAUUACAAGUCCCCCCCACCACCGAAGUAUGUAAAACAUCCACCACCUCCAUCACCAUCACCCCCGCCACCCUAUUAUAAGUCUCCACCACCGCCUUCUCAUUCGCCGCCUCCUCCUUAUGUGCACAAAUCUCCUCCACCACCCACUCACUCACCACCUCCACCAUAUGCUUACAAGUCACCACCUCCCCCUUCUAAAUCACCACCUCCUCCUUAUGUCCACAAAUCUCCUCCUUAUGUCCACAAGUCACCACCUCCACCAUCAUAUUCUCCUCCACCUCCUUACCACUACAAGUCACCACCACCACCAUCUCCAUCACCUCCCCCUCCAUACCACUACAACUCUCCUCCUCCUCCAGUGAAGUCACCUCCACCUCCCCAAUAUCACUACAAAUCACCUCCACCUCCAAAACACUACUAAGCUUUAUGGGAUUUUAGCGACUUGAACCAGUCCAAAUAAGGUCUUCGUUUCGAUGUUCCAGCGGUAUCACUUCUUUUUCUAGCUUUGUUCUAUUCGCAGACAAGUGUGUUUGUGAAUAAUAAAGGUC